AUGUACCAGUAUGUGGCGAUACGGGCGCACGACGGCUGCGCCCGCGUCGAGAAAAGUGUCGCCGACGCGCGUAGGGUGCUGGCGUCCCCACUGGUGCUGGACACCCGGAACGCCGCGGGGCGGUACACCUCGUUGCACUCCGCGAUGACCCACGUCGAGCACGCAUCCGGCUGCCUCUCCGGUGUCAUAUUCAGCAUGGUGGUGGCCGAGAUCCUGGCGCUCCAUGGCUGCGGGGCCGUCCCGUCGAGGCCGCUGGCUGGCAUUGGCGACCUCCGCCGCGACCGCGACAACCACGACGAAUGGCUCGCUCUGACCAGGCUCGAGGCCGCCAGGGAGCACGCCCAGGACGCGCUCCGAGGGGUGGAGGGUGCCUUCACCCUCCUGGCCUCCGUCCGGUUCAUGCUUCACAGCCGGACCCCCGACGCUGCCGGGCGCCGGCAAGCCAUGGAAGAGCAGCUCCACGCCGCCGCCGUCGAACUCCAGGCCGUGGUAGGCAGCGUGGCCAACAUGUCCGCGCUGGCCUUCUUGGCCACCCAGCCUGCCAUCUGCAACCGCAUCCAGUGA
Molecule: ribosomal RNA, 564 nt
Filed under: Triticum aestivum (bread wheat)
Lineage: Eukaryota; Viridiplantae; Streptophyta; Magnoliopsida; Poales; Poaceae
Description: partial small subunit ribosomal RNA
Source: RNAcentral